This 253-nucleotide ribosomal RNA is filed under the name uncultured bacterium. RNAcentral describes it as "partial 16S ribosomal RNA". It matches the Rfam family "Bacterial small subunit ribosomal RNA", at positions 524 to 776 of the family's 1533-position model. The record is from RNAcentral.
UACGUAGGGUGCGAGCGUUGUCCGGAUUUAUUGGGCGUAAAGAGCUCGUAGGCGGUCUGUCGCGUCGGCUGUGAAAACUCGGGGCUCAACUCCGAGCUUGCAGUCGAUACGGGCAGGCUAGAGUUCGGCAGGGGAGACUGGAAUUCCUGGUGUAGCGGUGAAAUGCGCAGAUAUCAGGAGGAACACCGGUGGCGAAGGCGGGUCUCUGGUCCGAUACUGACGCUGAGGAGCGAAAGCGUGGGGAGCGAACAGG